RNAcentral lists this ribosomal RNA (160 nucleotides) under uncultured bacterium. Its description in RNAcentral is "partial 16S ribosomal RNA". It matches the Rfam family "Bacterial small subunit ribosomal RNA", at positions 1332 to 1500 of the family's 1533-position model. The record is from RNAcentral.
UCGCUAGUAAUCGCGCAUCAGCCAUGGCGCGGUGAAUACGUUCCCGGGCCUUGUACACACCGCCCGUCAAGCCAUGGGAGCCGGGGCGCCUGAAGUCCGGGACCGCGAGGACCGGCCUAGGGCGAAACUGGUAACUGGGGCUAAGUCGUAACAAGGUAUC